RNAcentral lists this ribosomal RNA (483 nucleotides) under uncultured bacterium. RNAcentral describes it as "partial 16S ribosomal RNA". It matches the Rfam family "Bacterial small subunit ribosomal RNA", at positions 30 to 507 of the family's 1533-position model. The record is from RNAcentral.
UUGAACGCUGGCGGCAGGCCUAACACAUGCAAGUCGAGCGGAUGAAGGGAGCUUGCUCCUGGAUUCAGCGGCGGACGGGUGAGUAAUGCCUAGGAAUCUGCCUGGUAGUGGGGGAUAACGUCCGGAAACGGGCGCUAAUACCGCAUACGUCCUGAGGGAGAAAGUGGGGGAUCUUCGGACCUCACGCUAUCAGAUGAGCCUAGGUCGGAUUAGCUAGUUGGUGGGGUAAAGGCCUACCAAGGCGACGAUCCGUAACUGGUCUGAGAGGAUGAUCAGUCACACUGGAACUGAGACACGGCCCAGACUCCUACGGGAGGCAGCAGUGGGGAAUAUUGGACAAUGGGCGAAAGCCUGAUCCAGCCAUGCCGCGUGUGUGAAGAAGGUCUUCGGAUUGUAAAGCACUUUAAGUUGGGAGGAAGGGCAGUAAGUUAAUACCUUGCUGUUUUGACGUUACCAACAGAAUAAGCACCGGCUAACUUCGUG